AAGUCGUAACAAGGUUUCCGUAGGUGAACCUGCGGAAGGAUCAUUAGAGAUUGGCCUCUGGCCGUGUCUAUUCCACACACACCGUGAACUGUGUACGUCUGGAGGCUCUCGGGCCCCCGAUGCAAAAACACCAAAACAAUGUGUGAUGAAUGUAAAACUAUCGUAACAAAAACAAAACUUUCAACAACGGAUCUCUUGGCUCUCGCAUCGAUGAAGAACGCAGCGAAAUGCGAUAAGUAAUGUGAAUUGCAGAAUUCAGUGAAUCAUCGAAUCUUUGAACGCACCUUGCGCCUCUUGGUAUUCCGAGAGGCAUGCCUGUUUGAGUGUCUUAUAUAAUCAAUCCCCAUGGGUUUCAUUACCUGGUGGUGGACUUGGACUUGGGUGUCUGCCAUCUGGCUCGCCUCAAAGACGUUAGUGGGAUAAGCUAGCUGCCUGUGGCUCGACGUGAUAAGUUUCGUCGGACCUGGCUCCUUAUGCCCGCUCAUAACCUGCCCUCGGGCACACUGUAUGCUAGACCUCAAAUCAGGUAGGACUACCCGCUGAACUUAAGCAUAUCAAUAAGCGGAGGAAAAGAAACUAACAAGGAUUCCCCUAGUAACGGCGAGUGAACCGGGAAGAGCUCAAAUUUGAAAUCUGGCGUGCUCCGUACGUCCGAGUUGUAAUCUAUAGAAGCGUUUUCUGUGCCGGACCUUGUCCAAGUCCCUUGGAACAGGGUAUCAAAGAGGGUGACAAUCCCGUACUUGACAUGGCCCCCGGCACUCUGUGAUACGUUCUCUACGAGUCGAGUUGUUUGGGAAUGCAGCUCAAAAUGGGUGGUGAAUUCCAUCUAAGGCUAAAUAUUGGCGAGAGACCGAUAGCGAACAAGUACCGUGAGGGAAAGAUGAAAAGCACUUUGGAAAGAGAGUUAAACAGUAUGUGAAAUUGUUGAAAGGGAAACGACUGAAGUCAGUCGUGAUGUUGGGAUUCAGCCGGCUCUGCCGGUGUAUUUCCCAGUGUCGGGUCAACAUCAGUUUUGACCGAUGGACAAGGAUGAUGGGAAUGUGGCUCCCUCGGGAGUGUUAUAGCCUGUCAUCACAUGUGUCGGUUGAGACUGAGGAAUGCAGCUUGCCGCAAGGCCGGGGUUCGCCCACGUCCGAGCUUAGGAUGUUGACAUAAUGGCUUUAAACGACC
Molecule: ribosomal RNA, 1170 nt
Filed under: uncultured fungus
Lineage: Eukaryota; Fungi
Description: eukaryotic LSU rRNA
Rfam family: Eukaryotic large subunit ribosomal RNA (bases 513-1170)
Source: RNAcentral